UUUUGUUUCGGCAACCAGCACCGCCGCCUCCUCUCCAACCUCCACUAGGGCACCCGCGCCGCCGCCGCUCGACACUCGACGCUCGCCAUGUCGGACUCCGACGAAUACGUGGAUUUGCCCGUCUCGGACGAGGAGGAGGAAGAUGAUUGGGAGGAUGGAGAGGAGGCGGACGAGGAAGAGGACGUGAAGGGAAGCACUAAGAAGAAGGCCAAGCAGCACGUGGACCAACUCAAGAGGCUGCAGGAAAAGGAUCCUGAAUUCUUUAAAUAUCUAGAAGAGUGUGAUCAAGAUCUCCUGGGCUUCAAUGAAGAUGACAUCGAUGAUGACCAAGAAAGUGAUGAGGAACCUAGGUCUAUCCCUAAGGAGGAACCAAAAGAAAGUGUUAAACCUAUUACGAUGGAAAUGGUUGAUUCCUGGUGCGAUGGUGCAGAAGAUGGGAAGAUAGGUUCUAUCCGGUCUAUUCUGCAAGCCUUCAGGAGAGCCUGCCAUUAUGGUGAGGACACUGCGGACAAUUCAGCACCAAAAUUCAGUGUCAUGUCUGGUAGUGUACUGGAUAAAGUCAUGCACUUCGUUUUGAAGAACAUGGAUAACAUUCUUCGCCAAUUACUCCAUGCCCCUAGCUCUGGAGGGAGGAAAGAGAAAAUCAAUGAGCUGAUGGUGACCACUCCAUGGAAGAGGCAUGGUAAUCUAAUGAGGGUAUAUCUUGCCAAUGCACUCCAUAUGAUAACUGAGAUGACUGAUGAGCAAAUGAUAGCAUUUACUAUUCACCGUGUCAGAGCAUCAGCUGUUUUUCUGGCAGCCUUCCCUUCUCUCCUGAGGAAGUAUGUUAAGGCCCUGUUGCAUAGCUGGGCUAGAGGUCGUGGUGCUAUGCCUCUUGUUUCGUUUUUGUUCCUUCGAGAUUUGUGUAUUCAAGUAGGUCCGGAUUGCCUUGACGCAUGCCUCAAGGGUAUCUACAAGGCUUAUUUGGUAAACUGCAAAUUGUCCAAGUCUAUUAGCGGUUCAAAGCUGCAGCACAUUCAAUUUCUUGGGAAUUGUGUCAAAGAAUUGUAUAGUGUGGACCCUAAAAGUGCUUAUCAACAUGCUUUUGUUUUCAUUCGUCAACUGGCAGUUAUCCUGAGAGGUGCCCUUACUGAAAGAGGACCAAAGACAUCAAAGGAUAAAAAACAGAAAGAAAGAAACAAACCAACAAACAAACAGCUGGAGAAAUCAUACCAAAAAGUGUAUGAUUGGCAAUAUAUAUUCUGCCUCGAGCUUUGGACAAGUGUUGUAUGUGGAUGUAGUUCACAUGAAGAUUUCCGUCCUUUGGCUUAUCCAUUAACCCAGAUAAUUCAUGGAGUAGCGUGUCUGGUGCCAAGUGCACGCUACUUCCCUGUACGCAUUAGAUGUGUAAAAAUGCUUAAUUGCAUUGCUCAAGCCACCGGUACCUUUAUUCCGGUGUCGUCCCUGCUGCUUGAUAUGUUAGAAAUGAAAGAACUUAGAGGGCGUCCAGAUGGUGGUGUCGGCAAAGCAGUGAAUCUGAUCAAUGUUAAACAGGUUGAUAAGAAAAUAGUGAAGACGCGUGCCUUUCAGGAAGCUUGCAUUUACUCAGUGGUUGAUGAGCUUGCUAAGCACUUGGCCCAGUGGAGCUACUCUGUUGCCUUCUUCGAAAUGUCAUUUUUACCACUAGUUCAACUUCGGAACUUUUGCAAAACCAUCAAGGCUGAGAGAUUUCGAAAAGAGAUGAAGGAUCUUAUUCAUCAGGUAGAGGCAAAUGUGGAGUUCAUAAGCCCAAAGCGUGCAGGGAUUACAUUUUCUCCCAAUGAUGCAGCUGUAGAUUCAUUUCUACAGGUUGAGAAGGAAGAACAGUCAAGUCCUCUUUCAAGAUAUGUUGCUACUCUACAUCAGAGAGCACAGAACAGAAUCGAUGCUAUGGAUGAGACAAGCGUUAUUGUGGGGGCUGAGUCCUCUACCUUUUCACGGAGGCUAUCAGAGGUGCAGAAGCAACAGGAUGAUAAUGAAGAAACUAUGGCUUUCAGUAAGAAUUUGUUGGCUGAAAAGAAGAAGACUGAAACUGCAAAGAAGAAGAACAAGAAACGAGCCCGUGACGAUGAUGAUUUGCCUACCGAUGAGGAUGUGGUUGAGGAUUUGAUCUUGAGUUCAGAUGAGGAAGAGGAAGACAAGGACAAUGAUCUUGAAUCAGACGAGGAUGGAUCUGCUCCUGUUGAAGAUGACAGCGAUGAAGACUUUGUAGACCCAGACAGCGCGUGGAAGAAGCAGAAGAAGGAGAAACUGAAGAAGCGGAGCAAGUACCAACCAUCAAACAAGGUGUCCUCGAAAACAAAAAGGAAACCCCAUCCUAAGAAGAAAACAAAGCAUUAAUCAAGCUAGAUAGGACUCGGCAAAGACUAUUGAUGACAGUGGAAUCAUGAGAAACAUCCCCCUGUCACUGAAAUUUUUGUUUAGUUUGGUCUGAUUCUGUGUUGCGCCAACUUCGAAGUACUUUCUAGCCAUGUUCACCUGGAACUUUUAGAGUAGACCACGAGAACUGGCAUUAUUGAUCAGGAAAGAAAUCUGUAGCAUGUAAUGAAUCCAGUUUUACUUGGAAAUGAUGCCAGUCUUCAAUUCGUGGAUAUAUCUUCAGCCAAGGCGUGACUGUAACUGUUACUUUCAGUACUCGCUGCAAGCAACCGCGUGCAUGUAGUCAUCAUGAAGCUGCACU
Lolium rigidum is the source of this 2698-nucleotide RNA transcript. It is a transcript of the gene named nucleolar complex protein 2 homolog, with no coding region annotated. Lineage: Eukaryota; Viridiplantae; Streptophyta; Magnoliopsida; Poales; Poaceae. The transcript is spliced from 13 exons. The record is from RefSeq and is a predicted model, not a curated record.